AGUGAACGCUGGCGGUAGGCCUAACACAUGCAAGUCGAACGGCAGCACAGUAAGAGCUUGUUCUUACGGGUGGCGAGUGGCGGACGGGUGCGGAAUACAUCGGAAUCUACUUUUUCGUGGGGGCUAAAGUAGGGACACUUACGCUAAUACCGCAUACGACGUACGGGUGGGAGCAGGGGAUCUUCGGCCCUUGGGCGAUUCAAUGAGCCGAUGUCGGAUUAGCUAGUUGGCGGGGUAAAGGCCCACCAAGGCGACGAUCCGUAGCUGGUCUGAGAGGAUGAUCAGCCACACUGGAACUGAGACACGGUCCAGACUCCUACGGGAGGCAGCAGUGGGGAAUAUUGGACAAUGGGCGCAAGCCUGAUCCAGCCAUACCGCGUGUGUGAAGAAGGCCUUCGGGUUGUAAAGCCCUUUUGUUGGGAAAGAAAAGCAGCAGGUUAAUACCUCGCUGUUCUGACGGUACCCAAAGAAUAAGCACCGGCUAACUUCGUG
This 492-nucleotide ribosomal RNA is filed under the name uncultured bacterium. RNAcentral describes it as "partial 16S ribosomal RNA". It matches the Rfam family "Bacterial small subunit ribosomal RNA", at positions 29 to 507 of the family's 1533-position model. The record is from RNAcentral.